CAACACCAGGCUGGCCUCUUCAGCUCAUAUAAGGUAAAAGGCAGAGGGGCGUCUGCGGCCAAGGAGCAACAAGCAAGGAGCUAAGGGGAGGGGGGCCCCGUGCCAGCCGUUUAAAAAUGCCCCGUGGCAAUGAGGGGUGCCAGAGGCCCGGUCAAGUUAGUUGAGAAGCUAUGACACCCCCACAACAAUCCCCUAAAUGGGCUGGCCCCCGCAUCCAGGCUGCAAGGAGCCACACCUGGAACAGAUCCCCGGAGAGGCAAGGCGCUGGCUGGUGGGAGCCACUGCUACGACCCUGCGGAGAGGGCCCUCCUGAGGACCAGAGAGGAGGGCGGCAGCAGGGGUCCCCAAGAACAGAGCCCCUCCCGGAGCUUCCCAGGAAGACAGAGGUUCCCCCGUCUCAGCUUCACGAUAUUUCCUGAAGACAGUGGAGAGAAGGGAGGGCAAAUUGGCCCAUUCUCUGGGAGCAACCCCCCCAGCCUGCCACCAGCCAGCACCAGGGUGGAACCCCGCCAGCAGCUCCCGGCUCUGAGCCGCGCCCUGUCUCCCAGCCUGAGGUGCAGUGCUGCAUCUCUGGUCAGUUGGGAGUCUGAGAUGAAGCACUGUAGCUCGGGAAGGGAGAAGUUGGUCUGCCACCAUCACCCUGGAUGUGGUAAGUGGUGACGUUGCUUGGGGAUAUCGGGAAGGAUAGAAGCGUUUCCAGUUUCUGUGACACCGCCGGGCCGCUCAUGCCGAGGAAGUUUCUGGACUCAAGUCUGACCCAUGCCAUGAUCGGCUUCAUGAUUCUGACUGACUCCUGACUCCUCUGGGCACCCCAGUGGGUCCAUCGGUAACUGAGGUGUUGGGGGACUCUCCGGGGGCUGGUACGCGACACCCUGCCUGUGCUUUCUCUUUCCGAGCCCAUGGUGGACACUGUCCAUCAGUCACGGCAUCCUUUCUAGAAGAGUUCAGAGGUGCCUCUGGAAUCCUCCUCGACACUAAGUCGUGGAGAGCUGCUGCUAAUGAUUCAGAACUGAAAGCUAUUUGUCAUUUGUGGAUUGGACAAUUCCUAAAAACACUUGCGUCCCUAAAGACAAAAGUCCUGAACUUUGAGUCGGGCUCCUCAUUCUUCGGAUGCUUAAUCUUGGCUCCAGGUUAUUGCCUGAGCCAGUCCUGACAUUACACAAAUGACCGGCCUGUCUCAGAGGUUUCUGACAAGCAAGAAAUAGCAGAGAAUCACCAGGCUAAGUGCCAUCUUCUUUAACCUCCCUAUGAGCUUGGGAGGUGGCCAGUGUUAUUGACCCAUUUUACAGAUGAGGAGACUGAGGCUCAGUUAAAGCCAUUCUUCCAAAGCUAUUAUGGUUGUGUCAGCCAAGGUUAUAGCCUAACCUGCCUGCUUUCAGGUUUGUGUUCUUACCCAGUCCAGUGCAUAUGAUUUUAGAACUGGAGAGGGGGGAGAGCGGGAAGAGAACAUACUAAAGAAAUCUGGUCUUCUCCUUUCAUCUUGGGUCACUUUUCACAAAGACCGAUCUAGGGAGUUUCCACUAAUCCCAUGGACGGCCUUACUCCUAUCCCUAGUCCCAGACUGCAUCUGUCACACCUUAUCCGGGAGGUCCUUUCCUCUCCCAUUUGACAGCUGAGGAAAGCUGAGACUAGAGACUUGCUGGAGAUCCCCAGGGAGGAAUCUGCUGGACACUGCGAACUGAUCUGCCCAGGGUUUAGACUCAAACCCUCCCUCUGGCUGGAGACUCCAGAACAUACACAGUCCCGGCAGUCAUGGGAGGGAUACGGGGGGCUGGGAUGCCACCAGAUGGUUUCUGGUCAACAACACGGCCUCUGACUACAAGAAAGGUACUUUCCAGGGCGCUUGAAGUUCCAGUCAGUGCUCCUGCUGGAGCAAUCAGACGGUCUUGCACCCCGCGGCGUCCACACUGACUCCUGCAGAUGGGGCUGGGCGCAGAAGAAGACUGUCGCCAGUCCUUAGGGACUCGGCAGUGCCUUGGUGCUGAAGGCCCCUCUCUCACCUUGUCCUCACGGUCCAGUUUUCCCAGGAAUCCCUUAGAUGCUAAGAUGGGGAUUCCUGGAAAUACUGUUCUUGAGGUCAUGGUUUAGCAGCUGGAUUCACCUGCCCCAACCCGAGCUGUCCCCGUGGGACCUCCGCUCAAGCUCGGGAUGAGGCUCAAGCAGAGGCCAUACACUGGAGGUAAGAGGGCUUGCACACGGUGUUCUUGACCUUUAAGCUGCUUUUUCUUUCCAUUUUGUCCAUUUCGUAACAUUCCUAUGAGACUGGAUGAGGGAACCUCACCACGGCUGUACUCUUGGGAAAUCUGUGCAGGCACUCAGAAGAGGCGUGGUUGAACCAGGUCACCAUAAAGUAUGUGCUUCCUCCUGUCCCCACCCCUGUCCCUCACCCCACUUCCCAGCAUGCCUUGCGAUGGGGGACAGGAUAUGGUAUCUACAUUAUUGAUAAACUAAUAAACACACACGAGUUUAUUUUAGUAGUUUAUUAAAGCAGUUAGAUAAACUAAAACCCAUAAGUCUUAGCUCAAUUUGCAAAGCAACCACAGAAAAAUGAAAAUAACUUUGUUCAUCAAAGCCCCAAGACAAAAAAAGCUCAGAGCGCCCUCUUGUGGUGACACCUGCCUCUACUUCCUUCCCGGAGCCCCGCAGCCUCUCUGACACACACAGCACACACACACACCCCAUUCCCCUUGCCCCGGGCACUUUGCGCCCGUGAACGCGGUCUCCCACCCACCAUCUCAUUACCUAUGAUGCCUCCAUCACUUAGAGUUCAGUCCGGCUUCUAUAGCCUGGCUCUGUCCUCACAGCUGUCAGUGUGGUUGGUGAGGCUGAGAGGUGACGUGACCACCUCAGGGUCACCCAGGCAACCAAAGGCAGAGCCAGAAUUGAUUCCAAGUUCAGCGGCCUGUGGCAAUUCCUUAGCCAAAAGCAAAAACUACAAAACAAACAAACAAACAAACUGUCUGAAUAGACACAAGGAGUGCGGACAACUCGAUGCCACAGGCCGAGGUCCUGCCGUUGAACUAGACCUGCCGUUGAACUAGACCUUCUCGAAAACCCUUCCUAGUGCUUUCAUGGAGCUGGUAGGUAGCUCCGCCUUCAUGGUAGGCGGGUGCCACAGCCCCAGAAUGCUCACCUGCGGGUCUGGUCCCCAUACUCCGAAGAACAAGACGGCUCUCACAUGGGGCUCUAGCUGUCCUCCUAACAGACCAUACUGAGGACCUUAAUGAAGGAUGAGGUCCCUGCCUCCUCCUUCUAUAUACAGUGGAGCUGGCCUGACCACAGAGACAGCUGACUUGCUCUCGAUAAAUAAUAAUAACAAUAAUAAUGAUGAUGAUGAUGAUGAUGAUGGCGUCCAUUUGUUCAACGUUUACAAUUUCCCAGGCACUAUGUUAGACAUUUCCCAGGCACCAUCUCAUUCAGUCCUCACUACAGCCCAGCAAGGGAGCUGCUAUCACUCACUCCACUUCAAAGACCAGGAAGCCAAGGCGCAGAGAGGUUCAGAGACUUGCCAGGUCACCCACCUAAUAAUAAGCUGGAAUCACAUCAAGUCUGUGUUUAUGCUUUUAACCCUCAUGCCCUCCCUCCCAUGGGCCUGGCACCAGCACAGGCUGGAGGAGCCCCUGCGCACCUGCCCUCCUCUUCUGUGGAGCCGGAUGUCCCUGUGGCCGCUUGAGAGCUGCAGGGAGGAGGUGGGAGAGGCAGGCCGAGGACGAGCCCCUGUUGCUGUGCACUCCACUCCCCUCAUCCCUACCAUACACCCCCAGUUUGUUCACUUUUGAAACAGGACCCAGAAGGUGCUCACUGGCCUUGUCCUUGGGGCAGGUCCUUCUAGAACUCCCACAGCACCCCCUGAGGAACUUAUCGCCAAGCAGUCUUACCUGCAGGCAGUCUGCCUGGGGCUUCCUGUGGGGGAGAGGGUAAAACAAUCCCUCACUGAGACCCAAGUGGUCCAUCCUGUGCCCUGUGGUUCUAAUAAAGUGAUGGACCCUUGCCUUGUGUCCUGUUUCUUCCUGGGAACAUGGGGGAAGGGGGAGGAGGAGAAGGCAGGGGAGAACCCAACAGCCAGUUUUAGUUUGUUUGGCCCAUUGCCAAAGUUCCACAGACCGGGGGGCUUAAACCGGAGAAGUACAUUUUCCUACACUUCUGGAGGCCAGAAGUCUAAAAUCAAGGUGUCAGCAAGGUUGAGAACUCUCUCUCUUUCUCUGGCUUGUAAAUGGCUGUGUUCUCUCCGUGUUCUCACUCGGUUUUGUGUCUGUGGCCUAAACCUCCUCCUCUUGUGAGCCAGUCCUAUAGGAUCAGGGAUCGCCCAAUGACCUCAUGUAACCUUGGUUACCUCUAAGGACUCUCUCUCCAAACACAACCACAGUCUGAGUUACUGGGAGUUAGGAUUUCAACAUGAAUUGGGUGAGGGAGGACACUCUUCAGCCCAGAACGAACCCCCAGCUGAGAUAAUCCCCAAGUGCCUUCACUUUGCCAGCCAUUUCCAGGGGCCAGCAGAGAU
This is a long non-coding RNA of Mustela erminea (ermine), 4501 nucleotides long. RefSeq lists it as uncharacterized. The record is from RefSeq and is a predicted model, not a curated record. The transcript is spliced from 4 exons. Lineage: Eukaryota; Metazoa; Chordata; Mammalia; Carnivora; Mustelidae.